AUGUUCAGAAAUGUAUAAGAUCUCAUAUACAUACACUAGGCUACAUAUGCACGAAUGGACUGAACAAACUCAUCAAUCCGUUUCCUUAUCUCCUCAGGAUUGGCUCCCACCAACCUGUCAACUUGUGCACCAUCCUUCAUCAACACAAAUGUAGGCAUGGCCUUUACUUCCAGUUUAGAAGCCACCUCCUUAACUUCAUCCACAUCAACAGCCAGAAACAGGACAUCUGGAUAAGCUGAGGCUAAUUCCUCAAAGAAAGGGUUCAUGGCCACCGAGGGAAUACACCAUGAAGCAGUAAAGUGCACAACAAUAGGGCAGGCUUGAUUGUUGGCUUGGGUAACAUAGAAGUCCCAUGACUCUACCGAGUCCACCUUUACAACUCUUGAUUUAGUUUGCUGGUCUUGAGUCUCUAUCUCUUCCCCUUUCUUCUUCAUCUUGUGGUGGUUUCUUUUCUCCUUCCCUAGAGAAGUUUGUAAUUCUUGUUCUAGAUUAUAGACACUAGUAUAUCUUUCUUGCUUCUUUGGUCUACCAGAAGACCAGAUUAACCCAAAAUAUGAAUGGCUUCCUAUUCGACCAACUUGUGUCCCCGGACCUAUCUAAGCCUAGCUGGAAAGAGUAGAGACAAUAUGUCCAUUGUCA
This 639-nucleotide unclassified non-coding RNA is filed under the name Hevea brasiliensis (rubber tree). Lineage: Eukaryota; Viridiplantae; Streptophyta; Magnoliopsida; Malpighiales; Euphorbiaceae. The record is from RNAcentral.